UACGAAGGGGGCUAGCGUUGUUCGGAAUCACUGGGCGUAAAGCGCACGUAGGCGGAUCUUUAAGUCGGAGGUGAAAUCCCAAGGCUCAACCUUGGAACUGCCUUUGAUACUGGGGAUCUUGAGUCCGGGAGAGGUGAGUGGAACUGCGAGCGUAGAGGUGAAAUUCGUAGAUAUUAGGAAGAACACCAGUGGCGAAGGCGGCUCACUGGUCCGGUACUGACGCUGAGGUGCGAAAGCGUGGGGAGCGAACAGG
RNAcentral lists this unclassified non-coding RNA (253 nucleotides) under uncultured Alphaproteobacteria bacterium. RNAcentral's name for it is "contains 16S-23S intergenic spacer region". It matches the Rfam family "Bacterial small subunit ribosomal RNA", at positions 524 to 776 of the family's 1533-position model. Lineage: Bacteria; Pseudomonadati; Pseudomonadota; Alphaproteobacteria. The record is from RNAcentral.